CAAAUUGCAUUUGUUAGUGAAAAUGGUUAAUUUCAAGUAAGGGCAAAAUUGGAAUUUCACAUGCCAGCUCAUUGCCACCUCUUUGACAGCUCACACAACUUUCAAAUGCCAUGUGUGAGCUGUUGCCACUUGUUUCACCUUCAUUGGAUAUGCCAUUCUCAUUUUCACUAUGUAAUUGCACUUUGUCCAAUUUUUGCACUUUCAUUCUACAAGUCAAAUUCC
RNAcentral lists this long non-coding RNA (222 nucleotides) under Lathyrus oleraceus (garden pea). RNAcentral describes it as "Pisum sativum (pea) long non-coding RNA (PSAT_LNC004326)". Lineage: Eukaryota; Viridiplantae; Streptophyta; Magnoliopsida; Fabales; Fabaceae. The record is from RNAcentral.